CAACAAGCAGAGUUCACGGGGUAACAGGCACCUGUUUUAAUUCCUUCGCUGUUUUUGAACAGUCUGUGAUUUGGGAUGGCAAUUACCAACAGCUGUCUAUCCGCUAAUCAGAUAUGGUCCGAGCCCUAGGAGAACACGGGGGCGUCACCCCACAUUCUAAAUCAUAAUCAAACAAUCACCAAAAUAAAGUGUGCAUAAUAAAAUAAAUCACAAAAGGAACACUAUAUAAAAAAAAGAAAAAACAACCAGUGCCAAAUACACACAGGAAAACACAACACAAAAUAAAAUAGACAAGACAAAAAAAGAAACGUAUAAAAGAAUGUUUUGUGAAAAAAUUAUAAGCUGCAUUAAAAAAAAUAACAAUAUAUAUAAGUACUUCUCUUUUAUUUACACAUGUGAAUAAUAAGCAAAAAAAAUAUACAGAAAGUACUCAGGCUUAUUUAUGAAUAAAUUACACACAAAAAAUUAAUAAUGUAUACAACUUAUGCAUUUCAUUUUUAACUUACAUCACAAAAAAUAAACAACAGAAAUUAUGUUGUUUCAUUGACAAUAUGAAAUUCAAAAAAAGAUAUUGAAAAACGUCUCAGGUUAUGAAUGUAACCAUGGUUCCCUGAGUAGGGAACGAGACACUGCGUCCUCUAGGGGUCGCUAUGGGGAACACCUCAUCGUGACCCGUGUCUGAAGCAUACAAUGAAAAAACACCAACGAGUUGGCCGGCGACAGCCUCUGACGUCACUACUGGUGCGACUAUAAAACAGGCACCGGGAAACACGUCAUUCACUUCUUCGUCUGAAGCUUGCGUCCGAACCAUGGCAGGGAGCUAGAGGAUGCAGUGUCUGGUUACAUUACACAUUGGUUACAUCCUCUAGGGGUCGCUAUGGGGAACAGAAUACCCACGCCGCCAUGCUGAGGGGAGUGCAAGCCAGAAUCAUGGCGAACACUAAGUACCAACUCUACCAUUUCAAUGGGAGUUGCCCCCAGGACGUUUAGACGGCUGUCUGUGACAAUACCCCUUACGGCCAAAGGCCUAAGCUACAUACCCAACUUAAUUGUUAGGGCCUCGGCCCUAUCUCCUGCUUUUCCUGGGUAAAAACCCAGCAGAGCACUAACCUCAGUAUCAGAAAGUGUUAAAGAUAUAACAUCAUCCUCCCGAGGCUCUCUCUCGUCCGCCGCCAUUAUGAGUGCGAAAGGGAAAGUCCCUCUUUAAACCAUUCAGACAGAUCCACCUGAAAUUCUCACGAGCUCAUUCUCCUCCGUGCCUCAGCAGCGGCUGUUCCUGAACCGCGGGAAGCAGAUGGCUGCCUUUUUUUCUCGGAAAAAGAGACGAACGAGAGCGGAGCUUUUUCCUUGAAAAA
Long non-coding RNA from Cyprinus carpio carpio, 1355 nucleotides. Lineage: Eukaryota; Metazoa; Chordata; Actinopteri; Cypriniformes; Cyprinidae. The record is from Ensembl.